Molecule: long non-coding RNA, 3858 nt
Filed under: Nicotiana tabacum (common tobacco)
Lineage: Eukaryota; Viridiplantae; Streptophyta; Magnoliopsida; Solanales; Solanaceae
Description: long non-coding RNA (NTAB_LNC015302)
Source: RNAcentral
GACCCAUGAGAAGACCUAAUAGACAUCAGAGAACUUAGAGGAGAUAAAAGAAAUCCUCUUCUCUCUCACGGAGAGUAAUGGCGCACCCCUCCCUUCUUCUUUUUUUCUUCAUUUUCUCAAAACCUAACACAGAACCCUCCCCCUUCAGCUAAAAAACAGAGCAGCAGCGCAGCUUUUUCCCUUCUUUUUCACUCCCUCAGAUCGAUGAACUUCCCCUUCUCUCACGAGCCUUCUUCCUCGAUUCUCAUCGGAAAACACACUCACUAUGAUACUCACACAAAGAUGAAGGCUCACCCACUCAUGAUUUGAAAAAAAUGGCUGAAACAAAGCCGAAAAAAUACAGAAAUGAAGCUCUAAAAAAUCAUUGAAAAGAAGAAGAGGAAAAUCGAUCAAAAAACGAAAUUAGAAAGCUCUUGUUCUCUGUCAAACAUCAGUUCAUAUACAUGUCAGUUUUUGGAUUUUUGAGGUAAUCGAGCUGCGAGAAAUCACAAAGUUCAAAAGUUUAAGAUAAAGAAAAAUCUGGAUUUUUGCCGCGUGCUUGUUGAGACUGCGGCUGUUGCUUCUUCAUUGUUUUUGUGCUCUUCGUUAACUUGACGUAAGUUUCUUUUCCUUCUCUUUUGGAUGUGAUAUGUUUCAGCUUUACCUUAAGAGAUUUUAGUUUGAAUAUUGGCGUUUGAAAGAAUCCAUUUUUUUAGGAAUUAUAUAUGAGCUUGACUUCAGUUGUUUUGAAUGAAUGUUAUAAAGAAACAAGAUACUUCUUUGUGGUAUUAGCUUAUUUAGAAUCAGUACUUUGUUUUCUAUUUAUAUGCUAUAAUGGUUAGAAAGGUUUUACUAAAUACUAAUGAGUUUAGGGGUUGAUUGAAGAGUAUCAAUCUUGUGGAUUUGUACUCUGAGUCUGAUUCUUUGUACUAGAACUAUUGAUACAAGUGAAUGAAAACAGAGUCUUUGCUAUUGCUCUAAUUCAAAUGAGAAUUCAUGGUCACUUCAGUAUUGUACCCAGAUCUUUUACGUAACUUCUGCUCUUACAGUACAUGAUACCAAUAAAUGAGACUUAUGUUGACAUUACUAGUGAUAAUUUAUGUAACGAUCCGCCCGGUCGUUUUAAGAAUUAACACCCCGAUCCCCUAUUAACUGCUUUUCCCGUGUUUAUUUCUGCUAUUUUGAUUUGCCGGGAUGCUUGACUUUGAGUUUUGGAGAGUUUUGGGACACUUAGUCCCUAAAUGAGAGUUUAAGUUUUAGAAAUUGGAUCGUAGUCGGAGCAGUAUGAAGACGACCUCGGAAUGGAAUUUCGUUGGUUCUGUUAGCUCCGUUGAGUGAUUCCAGGCUUAGGGGCGUGUCCGGGUUAUGUUUUGGAGGUCCGUAGCUAAUUUAGGCUUGAAAUGUCGAAAGUUGAAUUUUUGAAGUUUCCGGUUCGAUAGUGAGAUUUUGAUAUCGGGGUCGUAAUGGAAUUCCAAAAGUUGGAGUAGCUCGUAGUGUUGAAUGUGACAUGUGUGCAAAAUUUCAGGUCAUUCAGACGAGGUUUGAUAGACCUUUUGAUCGAAAGCAUAAUUUAAGAGUUUUUGGAAUUCUUAGGCUUGAAUCUGAUGUAAAAUUAGUGUUUUGAUGUUGUUUUGAGCAUUCUGAAGAUUGGAACAAGUUUAAAUGAUGUUUUAGGAUUGGUUGGAAUGUUUGGUUGAGGUCCCGGGGACCUUGGGUGUAUUUCGGAUGCUCAACGGGUCAUUUUGGAACUUGUUGGAAUUGCUGAAAUGCUGGUAUGUGGUUUCCUUAAUCGCGUACACGUCUUUCCCUCCGCGUUCGCAUAGUGUAAUUUCGGAGGAUGAUUUAAUUGUUCUUCGCGUUCGCAUGUUUUGGCUUGCGAUCGCAGUAGUCUGCCCCCUCCUCCUUCGCGUUCGCAUCCCUCUGUUCGCGUUCGCGUAGUAGAACUAGGAGUGGGGUGGUACUGUGACCAUUUACUCUACGUGUUCGCAUUGUCCUUUCCGAGAACGCGUAAGCCUGCCUUUCCCUUUUCCGCGUUCGCUGGCUUUAUCAUGCAUUCGCAUAGCCCAGUUCAGGAGCCAUCAGAUUUUCCUCUUCGCGAUCGCACCUCAUUUUAUGUGAUCGCGAUAUACAAAUACUUGGGCAGUAUUUAAAUAGCCAAUCCGCGACCCUUCUUCAUUUUUCUACCAUUUUUAAACGGGAUUGAAGCUUUUGAGGGAGAUUUUUGAGGAAACCAAAGGGGAAUCACUUGGAGGUAAUAUUCUUGACUUCAUAACUCGUUUAUAUGUGAUUAAAAGUCUAAUUAGUGGUGAAAAUUUAGGAAAAGAUUAGUGCAAAAUGGGUAAUUAGGGCUUAAGAUUAAGAGACCUUAAAAUGGGUAUUUGAGGGGUCAAUUGAACUCCGAUUUCAGUGUUUUUGAUAUGUAUAAACUCGUGAGAGUACGAGGAUUCCGAAAAUGUAAAUUUUACCCGAUUUCGAGUCGUGGACCUGUGGGCGUUUUUGUCAUUUUACCUAAUUUUGCGUAUUAGCUUAGAAUUUAUUUGUAGAAUCAGUUACUUGAGCCGGUUCGAGGUAAGUGGCUUGUCUAACCUUGUGUGGGGGAAACUCCUCUUAGGAUUUGGUAUUAUUGAUAAUUGAAAUGCCUUGUACGUGAGGUGACGAGUGCGUACUUAUGCUAAUUGUUGAAAAUCCGGUUUUCAUUAAAGUAAUUACUUGUAUGUUUCUCUUCCUGUUUAUACUACUUGCAAUUUAAGCUUGUUGUUAGCUUAGGAAAGCAUGUCUAAUUGACUUAAUUGCCUUAUUUGUAUUACGUGCAACAUGCUCGGUUAGAAAUACCUAUUUUACCUUAGUAUGGAACUUGAAUUGAACUGUGUACUCUUCUUAUUGUUGCUGUGUAUUUACUUUGAGACUACGGGAUAGUAUCCCGGGUGAUUCCCAUGUAUGUUUAUUUUGGGACUACAGAACGGUAUUCCGGGAGAUCCCCCUGCACAUUUACAUUGGAACUACGGGACUGCACUCGGUAGAUUUUCCCUGUACUGAGUAUUUACAUUUGGGACUAUGGAUCAGUAUUCCGGGAGAUUCCCUUGCAUUAUGAGUUGGAUCACGGGAUGGUAUCCCGGGAGAUCCACUGAAUAUUUAUAUUUGAAACUACAGGACAGUAUCCUGGGAGAUCCCCGAUUGUUAUCUUUGUGCUGAGCUGUAUUUCUUUUUGUGUUUACUUUGCCUAUGUAGUAGUUGUUGUUGUCCUUUAUAUCCUGUGUUACUUUUACUGUUGCACUUACUUAUACUAUUUUGUUUUACACUGUUGAACCUUAUAUUUUAUUUAACCUCAGUAGGGCUCUGACCUUCCUCGUCACUACCCGACCGAGGUUAGGCUUGACACUUGCUAAGUACCGUUGUGGUGUACUCAUGCCUUUUCUGCGCAUGUUUUUCAUGUGCAAAUCCAGGUACUUCCAGUCAGACUUAUCACACUUGAGACGAGGCGCUUGUAGAGACUCCGAGGUAUAUCUUCUCCGUCCGCAGACCGAAGAGUCCCUUUCUACUCUCCUUUUAAGUAUUAGCCCUUCUGUAUUUCUUUUUUUUUUUUGUUAGAUAUUCUGGAGUUAGACACUAUAGACAUUCAAAAGCUUGUGUUUCAUGAGAUUCCGAGUUUUGGAAAAUGUUGUUAGUUUCGAGAGUUGUUAUUGUAUGUGCCGAGCGGCACCUUAAACACUGUUUUAUUUACUAUUUCGGUUUUAAUUAUUUCUUCCGCAAAUUUUUGUUUAUUUUCCGCAUUGUUAGGCUUACUUAGUCAUAGAAACUAGUUGCCGUCACGAUGGUUCACGGAGGGCGAAUCGGGGUUGUGGCAAUUUAUUAUUUGAAGUUCAUAUCAAGCUUUUCCGA